RNAcentral lists this unclassified non-coding RNA (251 nucleotides) under uncultured fungus. RNAcentral describes it as "sequence contains ITS1". The record is from RNAcentral. Lineage: Eukaryota; Fungi.
UUUAGCUAUUCUUGUAUCGCUCAGACUUCACUGUUCCAAAGGGUUUCGGUGGGGCUCCUGACGGGCACUCGCCGGGCGAGAUCACCGGAGAGGUGACCACGGCCGGCGGGGGCUCCCCCGCGCCCGGGGUCGGGCGGUGGGUUCGCCCUCGGCCUGCCAAAGCAACAGAGGUAUGUGUUCAUGGGUUGGGAGUUUCGGGCCGCGGGGACCCUUGCUCUUUAAUGAUCCCUCCGCAGGUUCACCUACGGAGA